RNAcentral lists this long non-coding RNA (1027 nucleotides) under Nicotiana tabacum (common tobacco). RNAcentral describes it as "long non-coding RNA (NTAB_LNC001709)". The record is from RNAcentral. Lineage: Eukaryota; Viridiplantae; Streptophyta; Magnoliopsida; Solanales; Solanaceae.
UAAGAUCUAGACCUUUUCAGCCAUUUCCAUCUAGGAUUGAAAACAAAAAAAAACCUAAAAACCUAGAACUAACCUAGAGACCUAAAAAAUGAUAGCAGCCGCAGAACCUGGGGGGAACACCUGAAGAUUCUUCUUCUUUGAAGCAAAAACCAAAGACCCUUAGCUUCUUCCUCUACACACCCUAACCUUCAGCACCUUCACAACACACAGACCCUUUAGCCACCCCAUCUCAAAACCGCCAAACCAGCCACAUGACAACUCUAACGUCUCUAGCUAGUAGCUCACCAUCGCCGCUGGACAGACCACCCCUGAAACCAGCUACCCCAAAACACUAGAAGCCACCGAGCUAGACCUCCUUCGUCUCCAUCGCCAGUCAUCUCUCCAAGAACAGCAUAGCAGCAGUCGUCCUUCUCUACCACCCAGCUCGCCGGAGAACAAACAAAGAGAACGAGAGUGAGAGGGAGAGGACAAGGGUUUUAAUCCUAAUUUCUCGACUUUCCUUUUCAUGAUUUCAUUUUUUAGUUCAUAAAAAAAGAAACAAAAAAAAUUUUGUUUGUGCUUUUGUUAAAUUUGAAAAAAAUGCAUUUUAGUUUCUGAUUUUUGAUCGUCCCUCAUGGGGUUGAUUUGAAUUCUAGGUGGAGUUCUGAUUGCCAGUUCGAGGUUUGUCGUGGUCGAAUUUGAGUUUGUCGAAUUUCAGUUCGUUGGUUUUAUUGCUGAUUUUCCGUCGCUUAGCAUUUUCAAGCUAUCAAACAAUCAUAUUUCAGAUUUGUUCAAGGUCUAUUUCUCCCUUUACUUUAUUAUUUUGCCUUAGUUUCAUGUAUCUGUGUUGUUGAUCUUUUAGUUAAGUUUUUAUUGUUGUUUGUGGUACCUUGAUAAUGUUUUUGUACGUUCAAGGUUUAUUUCUCGCUUUCCUUUACUAUUUUUCCUUAGUUUCAUAUAUCUAUGUUAUUGAUAUUUUAGUUAAGGUUUCAUUAUUGUUUGUGAUGCUUAGUAGUGUUUGUGUACCUUUUUAUUCUGAUAUUAUUUG